GCCGGCUUAGCUCAGCGGUAGAGCAGCGCUUUUGUAAAGCGAAGGUCAUCAGUUCAAAUCUGUUAGCCGGCA
Transfer RNA from Prochlorococcus marinus str. NATL2A, 72 nucleotides. It matches the Rfam family "tRNA". Rfam says of the family: Transfer RNA (tRNA) molecules are approximately 80 nucleotides in length. Their secondary structure includes four short double-helical elements and three loops (D, anti-codon, and T loops). Further hydrogen bonds mediate the characteristic L-shaped molecular structure. tRNAs have two regions of fundamental functional importance: the anti-codon, which is responsible for specific mRNA codon recognition, and the 3' end, to which the tRNAs corresponding amino acid is attached (by aminoacyl-tRNA synthetases). tRNAs cope with the degeneracy of the genetic code in two manners: having more than one tRNA (with a specific anti-codon) for a particular amino acid; and 'wobble' base-pairing, i.e. permitting non-standard base-pairing at the 3rd anti-codon position. Lineage: Bacteria; Bacillati; Cyanobacteriota; Cyanophyceae; Synechococcales; Prochlorococcaceae. The record is from Rfam.